UGGUUCCCUAGUAACGGCGAGUGAGAGGGAAGAGCUCAAAUUUGAAAGCUGGUACCUUCGGUAUCCGCGUUCUAACCUCGAGACACGUUUUCCGUGCGGCGCUAUGGACAAGUUCCUUGGAACAGGACAUCGUAGAGGGUGAAAAUCCCGUACUUGCCAUGGAUGUACCGUGCUUUGCGAUACGUGCUCUAAGAGUCGAGUUGUUUGGGAUUGCAGCUCAAAAUGGGUGGUAGACUCCAUCUAAAGCUAAAUAUCGGGGAGAGACCGAUAGCGAACAAGUACCGUGAGGGAAAGAUGAAAAGCACUUUGGAAAGAGAGUUAAAAGUACGUGAAAUUGUCGAAAGGGAAGCGCUUGAAGUCAGCCAUGCCGCUCAGGACUCAGCCUGGCUUUUGCUUGGUGUAUUUCCUGGGUAGCAAGUCAGCAUUGGUUUGGAUCGUCGGAGAAGCAUAGUCGGAAUGUGGCGCCCUCGGGCGUGUUAUAGCCUUCUAUUGGAUACGGGCGAUCUAGACCAAGGAACG
Molecule: ribosomal RNA, 519 nt
Filed under: Malassezia furfur
Lineage: Eukaryota; Fungi; Basidiomycota; Malasseziomycetes; Malasseziales; Malasseziaceae
Description: eukaryotic LSU rRNA
Rfam family: Eukaryotic large subunit ribosomal RNA
Source: RNAcentral